Molecule: ribosomal RNA, 451 nt
Filed under: uncultured bacterium
Lineage: Bacteria
Description: bacterial SSU rRNA
Rfam family: Bacterial small subunit ribosomal RNA
Source: RNAcentral
ACUCCUACGGGAGGCAGCAGUGGGGAAUAUUGCACAAUGGGCGCAAGCCUGAUGCAGCCAUGCCGCGUGUGUGAAGAAGGCCUUCGGGUUGUAAAGCACUUUCAGUCGUGAGGAAGGUAGUGUAGUUAAUAGCUGCAUUAUUUGUACGUUAGCGACAGAAGAAGCACCGGCUAACUCCGUGCCAGCAGCCGCGGUAAUACGGAGGGUGCGAGCGUUAAUCGGAAUUACUGGGCGUAAAGCGCAUGCAGGUUGGUUUGUUAAGUCAGAUGUGAAAGCCCGGGGCUCAACCUCGGAAUAGCAUUUGAAACUGGCAGACUAGAGUACUGGUAGAGGGGGUUAGAAUUUCGAGGUGUAGCGGUGAAAUGCGUAGAGAUCGUGAAGGAUACCGGUGGCGAAGGCGGCCCCUGGACAGAUACUGACACUCAGAUGCGAAAGCGUGGGAGCAAACAGG